RNAcentral lists this ribosomal RNA (496 nucleotides) under uncultured bacterium. RNAcentral describes it as "partial 16S ribosomal RNA". It matches the Rfam family "Bacterial small subunit ribosomal RNA", at positions 28 to 506 of the family's 1533-position model. The record is from RNAcentral.
GAUGAACGCUGGCGGCGUGCCUAAUACAUGCAAGUCGAGCGAACAGACGAGGAGCUUGCUCCUCUGACGUUAGCGGCGGACGGGUGAGUAACACGUGGAUAACCUACCUAUAAGACUGGGAUAACUUCGGGAAACCGGAGCUAAUACCGGAUAAUAUAUUGAACCGCAUGGUUCAAUAGUGAAAGACGGUUUUGCUGUCACUUAUAGAUGGAUCCGCGCCGCAUUAGCUAGUUGGUAAGGUAACGGCUUACCAAGGCAACGAUGCGUAGCCGACCUGAGAGGGUGACCGGCCACCCUGGAACUGGGACCCGGGCCGGACCCCUAGGGGAGGCAGAAGUAGGAAAUCUUCCGCAAUGGGGGAAAGCUUGACGGAGCAACGCAGGGGGGGGGAUGAAGGUCUUCGGAUCGUAAACCGUUGUUAUUGGGGAAAAAAAAAUGUGUAAGUAACGAUGCACGUUUUGACGGUACCUAAUCAAAAAGCCGCGGCUAACUACGU